CAACACACCUUUUUGACUCGGUCUGGCAUGUAAAGUCACCGACCGGCCCUUUCGUGUGGGGAUCUCAUCAUUUUGUUUCCUGUUCUCUACUCCUGAGUCCUGACUAGAACGGCGAUCGGUGGUGCUGGAUGGAAUUAAGCUCCAUCUUCUUUCAAUCUUGACUGGUUAGGUUGUUCCAGAAUUAUGCAUAGAUUCUGCAAGUAUGGAAGGUUGGCAUGAUGGGUUUCUGAUAUCAGGUGACUACAAACUGUACAGUAGUUGAGACUUACCGCGAGAGUCGUGGGUCCAACAUGGGAAGAAAGGUUCUGCUUUACAGGUCCGCCAGUUCGGAACUCAUCACUUGGUGUGAUUUGCCAGAAGCCAACAGGUGGACUAGAGCAUAUCCAACCAUGGACCUUGUUAUCCUUAUUAUCGAACGAGUACUGGCAACUUGGUUAAAGUCUCAACAUAACAAUUUAUCGUCUUUAAUUUGAUGAAGACUCCAAAGCCAAAAGGAUCCUGAUGUAGCUUUCCGCGAAUAUCAUACACCCAACAAAGAAGAAAAUAGCUGUGGUUUAUUGCUCUAACCGGCCAAAUCUGAUUCCCUUGAGUGAAAAAAACAAACAUGUCAGAACAUAACUGUUUGUCCAGACAUAUUUUCUGACUCGUAAGAUGCUGCAGAAUGAUGACAUAACUUUUCCAGGAAGCUGGUAUCAAGGUUGGUGAAAUAGGUUUAAGAACAGAGUUACGUAACCAAAACAUGAAAAUUUUAUAAUCUCUAGUCACGUCGGAUUCUUUACUUGUCCAUCCUGUUGUAAGUUGUAACACAUUCUGGACCUAAUCAGUAUUGGCAUAUUAGUUUGAAUUUCAGCCUAUCUUUAUG
This is a long non-coding RNA of Papaver somniferum (opium poppy), 862 nucleotides long. RefSeq lists it as uncharacterized. The transcript has 4 exons. NCBI's taxonomy places the organism in Eukaryota, Viridiplantae, Streptophyta, Magnoliopsida, Ranunculales, Papaveraceae. The record is from RefSeq and is a predicted model, not a curated record.